Molecule: antisense RNA, 2752 nt
Filed under: Pongo abelii (Sumatran orangutan)
Lineage: Eukaryota; Metazoa; Chordata; Mammalia; Primates; Hominidae
Rfam family: Taurine upregulated gene 1 conserved region 3 (bases 1111-1347)
Source: RNAcentral
UUACAUGUCUAGUCUGUGUGGUUGGUGGUGAAUAGGCUUCUUUUUACAUGGUGCCGCCAAGCCCAGCUAAUUAAUGGUGCACGUGGACUUUUAGCAAGCGGGCUCCCUGGAAGAGACUGAACCUGGCAUGGAAUUCCUGAAGAUGUUUGGGGUUUUUUUCUUUCUUAAUCGAAAGUUAACAUUGUCUGAAAAGUUUUGUUAGAACUACUGCGGAACCUCAAAAUCAGUAGAUUUGGAAGUGAUUCAAAGCUUAACUUUUUCCUUGGCCCUCCUCGUGUUCUAAUUGCUUGCAAGUGUAAUACUAGGAUGUCCAAGAUGCCAGUUUUUGCUUCUUUGUUAGUUGUCAGCUGCUUUUAUCAAAUUUCAGGCCAUUAUCCAACAAACACUAUAAAAAUGUUUGAACAAUUGGAUUUCAAACAUAUUCGUUUUGUGGAGUGGUGCUCACCAAGUGGUACAGCCCUAAGCAAGUGAACACAAACACAUUUAAGUGUAUUUUGUCUGAUUCGAUGUUAGCCAGUUAUGCUAUUUCAUUCAAAUGUCUGAAAAAAUCAAUUGACUAUUCCCUUUUCCUAAAGGGCAGAGACAGAUAAUCUCACUUCCAGAGAAAUGACUGUUUUGGAGAAAAAAAGUGUUGGUCUUUUUGCUCUUUUGUAAUUAAAUCUGGAUGUACCUCAAAAGACUCUUAAGACUGUGGUGAUAAGAUGCUUUCCUCAGCAGAAAGGAGGGAAAAAAAACAACUGGAACUCAAAGCUUGAAAUUCUGUGGCAAAACGAGAUGUCCAGGAUUGGAGGUUGAAAAGAUUUCACUACAGUGUUCUGCAAUAGUUGGAGCAGAUAACUUUCAGUGUAGCCACAGCCAUGGACUCCAGAUUUCCAGAUUUUCAAGAACUGGACCUGGAACCCGAAAGAGCUUGUCAGGAUGCGGCAAGAACACUGGAGGUAGAUUUUUUUUUUAUUUUUGAAUUUUGGGACUGUUGACCUUGCUGUGAGAAAAGAGACAACGACUGAGCAAGCACUACCACCAGCAUUGUUACUGGGAAUUAGAAGACCUGAGUUUCUGUCCAGACCCUCAGUGCAAACUGAGGACGCUCCAUCCAAAGUGAAUCAUGUCCUGUGCCUCCUGAUUGCUGAGUGUUCACCUGGACCUUCUGACUACCUUCCCUGUGCUAUUCCAUCAGCCUACAGACCUGGUACCUGGAUUUUUGCCCGAGAUGAUUCCUACCACCUUACUACUGAAGAAGACACCCAUUCCAGUGGACCACUGUGACCCAGGAGGCAUUCAGCCAUCAUGAUGUGGCCUUUACCUCCACUCCUGUCCUGUUCUACCCAGAUUCAGCACAGCCCUUUAUAGUGAAGUCAGAGUCCUCAAGCCAAAUAGCUAAAGCUGUUUUAUCACAACAAAGGCCUAGUUUGUUCCAUGAGUGUGCAUUUCAUUUCUUCAGUUAAAGCCUUCAGAGACACACAAUAAAUUUGGACCAGGGGAUUUUUUAGUUAUUAAUGCUCUCUGAAGAAAGGCAACAUCUUUUUGAGAGCAGCAUUGGACCACACCCCACAAUCUCAAAUGGUUGAAAUUCGUGAACAUCUAGGAUCCCGUGAAGGUCACUGGACCCUGUUUUUUCUACUUCAAAUCCUGUAGUAGCCUACUGAAUGAGAAAACAUAUUCUGACCCAUUGGAAUCAAAUCAGAGGCACAGUGAACUCCUCAUAGCAUCUUCUUUGGAAUUACUCAGGAACCAGAACUUUUUACACAAAUGUAAGAAAUUCUACCAAGGAGUCCCCUUACCUAACAGCAUCUCACAAGGCUGCAUCAGAUUCCAGAAAAGGCUUCUCUUGAUACAUCAAGGUAGAACCUCUAUGCAUUUUGUGACCGACUUAUUCUUAGAUCAUUGGUUUUCCAAAGGCUUUGUGGCCAUGAAGCCCUUUGAGUGAAAACUGCAGAAGCCCAGAGUAAAAGUGAAGCUGCUCUGGAUGAAGUAGUGAAGCAAGAGUAGGGGCCUGAAGCCUGCUACGACUAUCUUCCUUUACCACCGUGGUGACACCUAAGGGGACUUCCUUACAACACCUUGAACUCUUCCAAACACAGUUUGAAAACCACUGCCCCAGACAGCAAUAUGUUUGACCUGAAUGGCAUUCCAAUCUUUUCUGUACCUCCACUCAGCACAGUUCGUGUUCAGUAGAUGCUGAACAUUCUUAGAAAUACUGUGCGCGAACUUAGAAAAGUGCAAGAAGACAGGCAUGUCUUUGACCCCAGGAAUGAUCAUGGGCUGAAGAUGGUGUCAAGUGAACCUAGAUUAACAGCCCUCCACUCCAGAUGGAUAUCCAGUGAUUCCUAGAAUGGGAUAUAGCCAGAGAACAAUUCUAUGCACCCUACACUGACAGACUCCCUUAAGCAACACCAGAUGCUCUACUGGUACUUGAAGUACAUGACUUUGAAGUCUUGACCCUCCAUGAAUACCUGAAUUACCAGCAAGUGGGUUUUGAAGCUGGUGCCUCAUCAAGGCCAUAUUAGAGCAACUUGUACAUUUGACCUCUUGUUAUCAGCCAUGGUACUCUACUUCGUGAGCAAGAGAUAACUAUGAAAGCCGAAUUCAAAUACUGGCAACAUUUCCUAAAGGGGCUCAAUAUCUAUCAUUCAUCUUCUUUUCCAAACUACACAUCACUGUAUGACUCAACCAGUAGCAGUUAUAUUGCCCCUUGGUUUUUAUUCAGUUUAACUACUGUUUCCAGGGUAAAUGAGCUAAUAACCAUUUUUUA